GUCGUUCGAACCUAACAUCUUGGUCCUUCGAACCUGAUUCCAACAUACCUGAGGGGUCCAGUGGGUGAGGCUGAACCUCAGAAAAGACCAUGGCCACGGCAGGCCGCCUAGGUGCGACCUAAGACACCCUUUCCGGGACUGGGCUUCAACUCCCUGCUUGGAUCCUGACGGUUCACGGAUAUCCAGGAGGAAAGGCAACAGUGAGAUCUCAGAUGUUCUUGGAUUCUUGGAUCUUGCAGUCAGAAGUGCACCGUUCAUCACCACCACGGCUGCCUUCACUCCCCAGGUUGUCAUCUUCUUUCCUCCUUACUUGGUUCCCACAGACAUCAUCACUGUCGCCUACUGAUGUUUAACCACUCUACCUGACACCAUUUUAUCUCUGGAUCUGAUGUUUAUGUCUUAGAUUUAUGAGAAACAAUGAUAUGAUAUCACCUGAUAAUUUCUUUGGAGGCAUGACAGACAGCUUUGCAAUAAAAGGUAACGAUAAUGGGCAUCAUUAACUUGGAUAUAAUUCAUUAUAUAUGUUUAGAAUAUCAGUUAUGCUCCUAAUCUCAAGUCUGUGCCACCAAUUGGACUGAAAAAUAUAACACUGUUCAUGUUGUUCUGCAGUGACACUUUAAUAUCAGUUAAAGAUUGUAUCUGAUUCAUGAUCCAGCUUAGGCACUUUUAAAAUGGGCUUUAAAGAAAUGUCUGUGUAAAUUCUCAGUCAUCCAGGUCAUUGUAUCCAAGGUAGUUUUCUCUGUCAACUGGACUGGGUUUCUUCUCUUGAAGACGUUUCGCCUUCUAUCCAGAAGGCUUCUUCAGUUCUGAAAUCGCUGGGGAGAGAGCUUGAAAAUAUAUAGCCCCUGUGGACCAUUUGCAUGCUAAUGAUCUGGGUGGUCACCUGAGAGUCGUUAGCAGGGUCGUUGGUCGGGUCG
RNAcentral lists this long non-coding RNA (917 nucleotides) under Takifugu rubripes (torafugu). RNAcentral's name for it is "lncRNA (ENSTRUG00000028969.1)". Lineage: Eukaryota; Metazoa; Chordata; Actinopteri; Tetraodontiformes; Tetraodontidae. The record is from RNAcentral.